CUAUGACGAGAAAUAUUUGUCAUGGCGGAAGGAG
RNAcentral lists this non-coding RNA (34 nucleotides) under unclassified sequences. Its description in RNAcentral is "L31-Firmicutes ribosomal protein leader". It matches the Rfam family "L31-Firmicutes ribosomal protein leader". The record is from RNAcentral.